This 136-nucleotide small nucleolar RNA is filed under the name Aspergillus aculeatus ATCC 16872. RNAcentral describes it as "A. fumigatus snoRNA Afu_198". It matches the Rfam family "A. fumigatus snoRNA Afu_198". The record is from Rfam by way of RNAcentral. Lineage: Eukaryota; Fungi; Ascomycota; Eurotiomycetes; Eurotiales; Aspergillaceae.
CAAAACAACCUAUAUGAUGAGAGCUUUGCAAUCAAGAACCGGUAUAUUAGGAAGAGCCGGAAGAGGUAUGACAGGAAGCCAACGUUGUUUCUCUGUCGUCGAUGCUUAUAAUGGUUCUGCUGACUGGUUGUUUUUG